AUUGAACGCUGGCGGCAUGCCUUACACAUGCAAGUCGAACGGCAGCACGGAGCUUGCUCUGGUGGCGAGUGGCGAACGGGUGAGUAAUAUAUCGGAACGUACCCUAGAGUGGGGGAUAACGUAGCGAAAGUUACGCUAAUACCGCAUACGAUCUAAGGAUGAAAGUGGGGGAUCGCAAGACCUCAUGCUCGUGGAGCGGCCGAUAUCUGAUUAGCUAGUUGGUAGGGUAAAAGCCUACCAAGGCAUCGAUCAGUAGCUGGUCUGAGAGGACGACCAGCCACACUGGAACUGAGACACGGUCCAGACUCCUACGGGAGGCAGCAGUGGGGAAUUUUGGACAAUGGGCGAAAGCCUGAUCCAGCAAUGCCGCGUGAGUGAAGAAGGCCUUCGGGUUGUAAAGCUCUUUUGUCAGGGAAGAAACGGUGAGAGCUAAUAUCUUUUGCUAAUGACGGUACCUGAAGAAUAAGCACCGGCUAACUACGUGCCAGCAGCCGCGGUAAUACGUAGGGUGCAAGCGUUAAUCGGAAUUACUGGGCGUAAAGCGUGCGCAGGUGGUUUUGUAAGUCUGAUGUGAAAUCCCCGGGCUCAACCUGGGAAUUGCAUUGGAGACUGCAAGGCUAGAAUCUGGCAGAGGGGGGUAGAAUUCCACGUGUAGCAGUGAAAUGCGUAGAUAUGUGGAGGAACACCGAUGGCGAAGGCAGCCCCCUGGGUCAAGAUUGACGCUCAUGCACGAAAGCGUGGGGAGCAAACAGGAUUAGAUACCCUGGUAGUCCACGCCCUAAACGAUGUCUACUAGUUGUCGGGUCUUAAUUGACUUGGUAACGCAGCUAACGCGUGAAGUAGACCGCCUGGGGAGUACGGUCGCAAGAUUAAAACUCAAAGGAAUUGACGGGGACCCGCGCAAGCGGUGGAUGAUGUGGAUUAAUUCGAUGCAACGCGAAAAACCUUACCUACCCUUGACAUGGCUGGAAUCCUUGAGAGAUCAGGGAGUGCUCGAAAGAGAACCAGUACACAGGUGCUGCAUGGCUGUCGUCAGCUCGUGUCGUGAGAUGUUGGGUUAAGUCCCGCAACGAGCGCAACCCUUGUCAUUAGUUGCUACGAAAGGGCACUCUAAUGAGACUGCCGGUGACAAUCCGGAGGAAGGUGGGGAUGACGUCAAGUCCUCAUGGCCCUUAUGGGUAGGGCUUCACACGUCAUACAAUGGUACAUACAGAGCGCCGCCAACCCGCGAGGGGGAGCUAAUCGCAGAAAGUGUAUCGUAGUCCGGAUUGUAGUCUGCAACUCGACUGCAUGAAGUUGGAAUCGCUAGUAAUCGCGGAUCAGCAUGUCGCGGUGAAUACGUUCCCGGGUCU
RNAcentral lists this ribosomal RNA (1352 nucleotides) under uncultured bacterium. RNAcentral's name for it is "bacterial SSU rRNA". It matches the Rfam family "Bacterial small subunit ribosomal RNA", at positions 28 to 1381 of the family's 1533-position model. The record is from RNAcentral.